GUGAAUGGUGGCGAUGUGGAUGAGUCAUGCAAGUCAAGGGGGUCUCGAUUAGCAAUAGUUGGGGCAACCGGCAGACGAGGUAGUAACACGUAGGGAGAUCCCCCGGAGUCAGGCAUAGCCAGCCGAAAGGCUGGGUAAUUCCCGAUGGCACCGUGAGGUUAAAGGAGCAAUCCGCUCCGGGAGUCGCCUGCGUAGUAUCAGCUAGUUGGUAGGGUAACGGCCUACCAAGGCUACGACGCUUAGGGGAGCUGAGAGGCUGACCCCCACCGAUGGGACUGAGACACGGCCCAUACUCCUACGGGAGGCUGCAGACGAGAAUAUUCCGCAAUGGGCGAAAGCCUGACGGAGCGACAUCGCGUGCUGGAUGAAGUGCUUCGGUACGUAAACAGCUUUUAUCGGGGACGAAAUAAUUGACGGUACCCGAUGAAUAAGGGGCUGCUAACUCUGU
RNAcentral lists this ribosomal RNA (448 nucleotides) under uncultured bacterium. RNAcentral describes it as "bacterial SSU rRNA". It matches the Rfam family "Bacterial small subunit ribosomal RNA", at positions 29 to 506 of the family's 1533-position model. The record is from RNAcentral.